RNAcentral lists this ribosomal RNA (247 nucleotides) under uncultured bacterium. Its description in RNAcentral is "partial 16S ribosomal RNA". It matches the Rfam family "Bacterial small subunit ribosomal RNA", at positions 15 to 244 of the family's 1533-position model. The record is from RNAcentral.
GAUCAUGGCUCAGGAUGAACGCUGGCGGCGUACCUAACACAUGCAAGUCGAACGGGGUUAUUUUGGAAAUCUCUUCGGAGAUGGAAUUCUUAACCUAGUGGCGGACGGGUGAGUAACGCGUGAGCAAUCUGCCUUUAGGAGGGGGAUAACAGUCGGAAACGGCUGCUAAUACCGCAUAAUACGUUUGGGAGGCAUCUCUUGAACGUCAAAGAUUUUAUCGCCUUUAGAUGAGCUCGCGUCUGAUUAG